GACGAAGGGGGCUAGCGUUGUUCGGAAUUACUGGGUGUAAAGGGUUCGUAGGCGGUGUGGCAAGUCGGGAGUGAAAUCUCUGGGCUCAACUCAGAGACUGCUUCCGAAACUGCUGUGCUGGAGUGUGGGAGAGGCGCGUGGAAUUGCAGGUGUAGCGGUGAAAUGCGUAGAUAUCUGCAGGAACACCCGUGGCGAAAGCGGCGCGCUGGACCACUACUGACGCUGAGGAACGAAAGCUAGGGGAGCAAACAGG
This 253-nucleotide ribosomal RNA is filed under the name uncultured bacterium. Its description in RNAcentral is "partial 16S ribosomal RNA". It matches the Rfam family "Bacterial small subunit ribosomal RNA", at positions 524 to 776 of the family's 1533-position model. The record is from RNAcentral.